This 1372-nucleotide ribosomal RNA is filed under the name uncultured bacterium. RNAcentral describes it as "bacterial SSU rRNA". It matches the Rfam family "Bacterial small subunit ribosomal RNA", at positions 28 to 1381 of the family's 1533-position model. The record is from RNAcentral.
GAUGAACGCUGGCGGCGUGCCUAAUACAUGCAAGUCGAGCGAACGGACGAGAAGCUUGCUUCUCUGAUGUUAGCGGCGGACGGGUGAGUAACACGUGGAUAACCUACCUAUAAGACUGGGAUAACUUCGGGAAACCGGAGCUAAUACCGGAUAAUAUUUUGAACCGCAUGGUUCAAAAGUAAAAGACGGUCUUGCUGUCACUUAUAGAUGGAUCCGCGCUGCAUUAGCUAGUUGGUAAGGUAACGGCUUACCAAGGCAACGAUGCAUAGCCGACCUGAGAGGGUGAUCGGCCACACUGGAACUGAGACACGGUCCAGACUCCUACGGGAGGCAGCAGUAGGGAAUCUUCCGCAAUGGGCGAAAGCCUGACGGAGCAACGCCGCGUGAGUGAUGAAGGUCUUCGGAUCGUAAAACUCUGUUAUUAGGGAAGAAUAUAUGUGUAAGUAACUGUGCACAUCUUGACGGUACCUAAUCAGAAAGCCACGGCUAACUACGUGCCAGCAGCCGCGGUAAUACGUAGGUGGCAAGCGUUAUCCGGAAUUAUUGGGCGUAAAGCGCGCGUAGGCGGUUUUUUAAGUCUGAUGUGAAAGCCCACGGCUCAACCGUGGAGGGUCAUUGGAAACUGGAAAACUUGAGUGCAGAAGAGGAAAGUGGAAUUCCAUGUGUAGCGGUGAAAUGCGCAGAGAUAUGGAGGAACACCAGUGGCGAAGGCGACUUUCUGGUCUGUAACUGACGCUGAUGUGCGAAAGCGUGGGGAUCAAACAGGAUUAGAUACCCUGGUAGUCCACGCCGUAAACGAUGAGUGCUAAGUGUUAGGGGGUUUCCGCCCCUUAGUGCUGCAGCUAACGCAUUAAGCACUCCGCCUGGGGAGUACGACCGCAAGGUUGAAACUCAAAGGAAUUGACGGGGACCCGCACAAGCGGUGGAGCAUGUGGUUUAAUUCGAAGCAACGCGAAGAACCUUACCAAAUCUUGACAUCCUUUGACAACUCUAGAGAUAGAGCCUUCCCCUUCGGGGGACAAAGUGACAGGUGGUGCAUGGUUGUCGUCAGCUCGUGUCGUGAGAUGUUGGGUUAAGUCCCGCAACGAGCGCAACCCUUAAGCUUAGUUGCCAUCAUUAAGUUGGGCACUCUAAGUUGACUGCCGGUGACAAACCGGAGGAAGGUGGGGAUGAUGUCAAAUCAUCAUGCCCCUUAUGAUUUGGGCUACACACGUGCUACAAUGGACAAUACAAAGGGCAGCGAAACCGCGAGGUCAAGCAAAUCCCAUAAAGUUGUUCUCAGUUCGGAUUGUAGUCUGCAACUCGACUACAUGAAGCUGGAAUCGCUAGUAAUCGUAGAUCAGCAUGCUACGGUGAAUACGUUCCCGGGUCU